Molecule: ribosomal RNA, 468 nt
Filed under: uncultured bacterium
Lineage: Bacteria
Description: partial 16S ribosomal RNA
Rfam family: Bacterial small subunit ribosomal RNA
Source: RNAcentral
GACGAACGCUGGCGGCGUGCUUAACACAUGCAAGUCGAACGGAAAGGCCCUGCUUUUGUGGGGUGCUCGAGUGGCGAACGGGUGAGUAACGCGUGAGUAACCUGCCCUUGAUUUUGGGAUAACUUCAGGAAACUGGGGCUAAUACCGGAUAGGAGCUCCUGCUGCAUGGUGGGGGUUGGAAAGUUUCGGCGGUUGGGGAUGGACUCGCGGCUUAUCAGCUUGUUGGUGGGGUAGUGGCUUACCAAGGCUUUGACGGGUAGCCGGCCUGAGAGGGUGACCGGCCACAUUGGGACUGAGAUACGGCCCAGACUCCUACGGGAGGCAGCAGUGGGGAAUAUUGCACAAUGGGCGGAAGCCUGAUGCAGCAACGCCGCGUGCGGGAUGACGGCCUUCGGGUUGUAAACCGCUUUCGCCUGUGACGAAGCGUGAGUGACGGUAAUGGGUAAAGAAGCACCGGCUAACUACGUG